RNAcentral lists this ribosomal RNA (254 nucleotides) under uncultured bacterium. RNAcentral's name for it is "partial 16S ribosomal RNA". It matches the Rfam family "Bacterial small subunit ribosomal RNA", at positions 524 to 776 of the family's 1533-position model. The record is from RNAcentral.
UACGAAGGGUGCAAGCGUUAAUCGGAAUUACUGGGCGUAAAGGGUGCGUAGGCGGUUGUUUAAGUCUGUCGUGAAAUCCCCCGGGCUCAACCUGGGAAUGGCGAUGGAUACUGGGCAGCUAGAGUGUGUCAGAGGAUGGUGGAAUUCCCGGUGUAGCGGUGAAAUGCGUAGAGAUCGGGAGGAACAUCAGUGGCGAAGGCGGCCAUCUGGGACAACACUGACGCUGAAGCACGAAAGCGUGGGGAGCAAACAGG